CCACAGAAGAUAAACAAAGAAUCCUGUGUUUUGAAAUCUGACUACGCUACAGUACUGUGACAGCUGUGAAUCGUCUCAUCUCGCUAAGUUAUCUUAUAYGGACACGUUACAUUAGCUAGUUGCUUUGGCACUUGUCCACAAUGGAAGAAGCAGGAUACACAAGCCAUGGCUUCGGCUACUUCAGGUUCUAUUCACUUCUUCCACAAUGAUUUUUGAGGAUGAGAUACUAAUGAAAGAAUACCUGAAGAUGAUGACUGAUAUGAUUGUGUUGUGUGCCACCCUGGCCAUCUCCCUCUUCUUCUGGAUCAUUUCCAUCACAGCCAGCACAUAUUAUGGCACUCUCCAGCCGGUGUCUCCAUGGCGAUGGUUGUUCUCCAUCCUGGUUCCUCUGACUCUCACCACACGGGCCCUGAAGAAGAGGAGUCUGGACCACAGCGGCGCCCUGGGAGGUAAACAAACAUUACAACAA
Molecule: long non-coding RNA, 469 nt
Organism: Salvelinus sp. IW2-2015
Lineage: Eukaryota; Metazoa; Chordata; Actinopteri; Salmoniformes; Salmonidae
Source: RefSeq, a predicted model, not a curated record